AGAGCCUACGGGGGGCAGCAGUGGGGAAUAUUGCACAAUGGGGGAAACCCUGAUGCAGCGACGCCGCGUGAGUGAAGAAGUAUUUCGGUAUGUAAAGCUCUAUCAGCAGGGAAGAUAAUGACGGUACCCGAGUAAGAAGCCCCGGCUAACUACGUGCCAGCAGCCGCGGUAAUACGUAGGUGGCAAGCGUUAUCCGGAUUUACUGGGUGUAAAGGGCGCGUAGGCGGGGAAGCAAGUCAGAUGUGAAAACCACGGGCUCAACCUGUGGCCUGCAUUUGAAACUGUUUUUCUUGAGUGCUGGAGAG
This 305-nucleotide ribosomal RNA is filed under the name uncultured bacterium. RNAcentral describes it as "bacterial SSU rRNA". It matches the Rfam family "Bacterial small subunit ribosomal RNA", at positions 333 to 656 of the family's 1533-position model. The record is from RNAcentral.